CGGCUUACUACUUCCGGUCGCCGGCGGGUAGCCGGCGGGAGGUGGGUAAGCCGUCGAUGGCUCGUUUCCCUUGCCCGGUGGUGGGUAGGCGGACUGGGGUGGGUAGGCCGCGGCGGCUGACCCAUCGGCCUUCGCUGCCGUUGGGUAGGCGGUCGGUGGUGGGUAGGUGGAUUGGGGCGGGUAGGCCGCGGCGGCGGCGGCGGAGGGCGGGUAAGCUGGCGCCGGUGGAGCUUGGCCGUACGCGACCGGAGGAGAGGCACCAGGGUAGGAGCCGG
This 275-nucleotide long non-coding RNA is filed under the name Oryza sativa (Asian cultivated rice). Its description in RNAcentral is "long non-coding RNA (OSAT_LNC001766)". Lineage: Eukaryota; Viridiplantae; Streptophyta; Magnoliopsida; Poales; Poaceae. The record is from RNAcentral.